GUACCGUACCUGUGCAGCUGUUUU
Molecule: non-coding RNA, 24 nt
Filed under: Cricetulus griseus (Chinese hamster)
Lineage: Eukaryota; Metazoa; Chordata; Mammalia; Rodentia; Cricetidae
Source: RNAcentral